RNAcentral lists this ribosomal RNA (1290 nucleotides) under Triticum aestivum (bread wheat). RNAcentral's name for it is "partial small subunit ribosomal RNA". Lineage: Eukaryota; Viridiplantae; Streptophyta; Magnoliopsida; Poales; Poaceae. The record is from RNAcentral.
AUGGCUCGGCCAGCAGCAAGAAGAGCUAGCGGCGUGGUCGCCAUGACGCUGCUGCUGCUCCUGCUCCUGCCGGCGCCUGCCUUGUCUGUGGCGGGGGCGGUGGUGGGGGUAAUCGUCCGCUCGCCUAUGAUGAAAAGGAUCGCGAGCAUCAUCGUCAAGGAGGUAGCAAGCGCCGGCGCGUCCGCCCUGACCAAGGCCCUCCGCAGCUCCAACAAGGGCGGCCAGCUGGGCUCCGAUGCCGCGGACGACGCCGGCAUCAUACUCUACCACGUCACCGUCGGGCAACAGACUUUCUCCGGCGUGGUCGACAUCUCCAACGACUUUUUCUGGUGCAGUGCCCGCCCGCUCCGGCGCAAGAAGACCACUAACGACGACUGCAUCGACACAACCAGCAGCUGCCUGUACGCUUACGGGUCACCCGACGAUGGCAGCUACAGCACCGGCUACCUCGGCUAUGAGCAGUUCACCUUCGGUGCUGGGACCGGGACGUCGCCCGUCUCCGGGAGCGUGGUGUUCGGCUGCAGCACCCAGAACACAGCGAGGGACGGUGCCAUUGGGUUCAGCAAGGGCCCCCUCUCCAUCCUGUCACAGCUGCACAUCACCAGGUUCUCCUACUUCCUGACACCCGACGACUCCAAGAGCUCGAGCUCCACCAGCGCGGUCCUCCUGGGCGACCAAGCCGUGCCGCAGACUAAACAUAGCCGCUCCACACCAUUGCUAAAGAGCAACAUGUACCAGGACUUGUACUACGUUAAGCUCACCGGAAUAAAGGUUGACGGUGAGUCGCUAAAAGGCAUCCCGGACCGAGCGUUCGACUUCGCGGCGGAUGGCAAGUCCGGUGGGGUGGCCCUGAGCACCACCAUCGCCCUCACCUGGCUCCAGAGUGACGCCUACUAUGCCGUGAAGCAAGCGCUAAUGAGCAAGAUAGACUCACCGGCCGUGAAAAGCAAUAAUGAGUUGGACCUGUGCUACGACACCAACUCUGUGGCCAAGCUCAAGUUCCCCAAGAUAACUCUGGUAUUUGAUGGAGUGGACUCACCCGGGAUGGACCUCACAACGGUGCACUACUUCUACAAGGACACCAACACCGGGUUCCAGUGCCUCACCAUGCUGCCGAUGCCCAAGGAUUAUCCUUUAGGUUCCAUCCUAGGUAGCAUGCUGCAGGCGGGCACCAACAUGAUCUACGACAUCGGUGGCCGGCAGCUGACCUUCGAGAAGGCGGUGGCGGCGGCCCCACCGGUGCCACUCAUGGCGAUAGUCUCUCUCCUUGCGUGGGUGCUCCUCUUCUAG